GCUUGGCUGGCUCAGUCAGAAGAGCACGUGACUCUUGAUCUUGGGGCUGUGAGUUUGAGCCCCACGUUGGGUG
Molecule: transfer RNA, 73 nt
Filed under: Ailuropoda melanoleuca (giant panda)
Lineage: Eukaryota; Metazoa; Chordata; Mammalia; Carnivora; Ursidae
Rfam family: tRNA
About the family: Transfer RNA (tRNA) molecules are approximately 80 nucleotides in length. Their secondary structure includes four short double-helical elements and three loops (D, anti-codon, and T loops). Further hydrogen bonds mediate the characteristic L-shaped molecular structure. tRNAs have two regions of fundamental functional importance: the anti-codon, which is responsible for specific mRNA codon recognition, and the 3' end, to which the tRNAs corresponding amino acid is attached (by aminoacyl-tRNA synthetases). tRNAs cope with the degeneracy of the genetic code in two manners: having more than one tRNA (with a specific anti-codon) for a particular amino acid; and 'wobble' base-pairing, i.e. permitting non-standard base-pairing at the 3rd anti-codon position.
Source: Rfam by way of RNAcentral